CAGAAGGAGGUUGCUUACUAUAGAAGCUCGGAUGGAGACUGAUUACCGUGGAAGCCCGGAUGGAGACCGCUUACUGUAGAAGCUCGGAUGGAGAUCGAUUGCCGUAGAAGCCCGGAUGGAGACCGCUUAUUGUAGAAGCUCGGCUGAAAUUCGAAAGGCGAUCGAUCACUGUAGAAACUUGGAUGGAGUCUGGUUACUGGAGAAGUACUACUGUUGGAGAAGCCUGAACAUUGAAGAAGUCCGAAAGAAGCUCGGAGUAAAGUCGAUCGUGAUAGAAGGA
Molecule: long non-coding RNA, 280 nt
Filed under: Elaeis guineensis (African oil palm)
Lineage: Eukaryota; Viridiplantae; Streptophyta; Magnoliopsida; Arecales; Arecaceae
Description: long non-coding RNA (EGUI_LNC081287)
Source: RNAcentral